UUUCGAGUGGCGGACGGGUGAGUAACGCGUGGGUAACCUGCCUCAUACAGGGGGAUAACAGUUGGAAACGACUGUUAAUACCGCAUAAGACCACAGCACCGCAUGGUGCGGGGGUAAAAACUCCGGUGGUAUGAGAUGGACCCGCGUCUGAUUAGCUAGUUGGUAAGGUAACGGCUUACCAAGGCGACGAUCAGUAGCCGACCUGAGAGGGUGACCGGCCACAUUGGGACUGAGACACGGCCCAA
This 245-nucleotide ribosomal RNA is filed under the name uncultured bacterium. Its description in RNAcentral is "partial 16S ribosomal RNA". It matches the Rfam family "Bacterial small subunit ribosomal RNA", at positions 89 to 334 of the family's 1533-position model. The record is from RNAcentral.